RNAcentral lists this ribosomal RNA (248 nucleotides) under uncultured euryarchaeote. RNAcentral describes it as "partial 16S ribosomal RNA". It matches the Rfam family "Archaeal small subunit ribosomal RNA", at positions 478 to 726 of the family's 1478-position model. Lineage: Archaea; Methanobacteriati; Methanobacteriota. The record is from RNAcentral.
CGCGGCCCGAGUGGUGGUUCGAUAUUAUUGAGCCUAAAACGUUCGUAGCCGGUCUUGUAAAUCCUUGGGUAAAUCGCCAGCUUAACUGUCCGAAGUCCGGGGAGACUGCAAGACUUGGGAUCGGGAGAGGUCAGAGGUACUUCUGGGGUAGGGGUAAAAUCCUGUAAUCCUAGAAGGACCACCGGUGGCGAAGGCGUCUGACUAGAACGAAUUCGACGGUGAGGAACGAAGCCCUGGGGCGCAAACGG